Molecule: ribosomal RNA, 253 nt
Filed under: uncultured bacterium
Lineage: Bacteria
Description: partial 16S ribosomal RNA
Rfam family: Bacterial small subunit ribosomal RNA
Source: RNAcentral
UACGUAGGUGGCAAGCGUUGUCCGGAUUUAUUGGGCGUAAAGCGCGUGUAGGUGGAUUGGUAAGUUACUUAUAAAAGCUCCUGGCUAAACUAGGAGAGGUUGGGUGAUACUGCCAGUCUUGAAUAGAGGAGAGGUUGACGGAAUUCCGCGUGUAGUGGUGAAAUGCGUAGAGAUGCGGAAGAACACCAGUGGCGAAGGCGGUCAACUGGCCUCAUAUUGACACUCAGACGCGAAGGCAUGGGUAGCGAACGGG